This 222-nucleotide unclassified non-coding RNA is filed under the name plant metagenome. RNAcentral's name for it is "partial contains small subunit ribosomal RNA, internal transcribed spacer 1, and 5.8S ribosomal RNA". The record is from RNAcentral.
UUUCCGUAGGUGAACCUGCGGAAGGAUCAUUACUGAGUACUUGCCCGUAGGGGUAGAUCUCCCAUCCAAUGUUUACAUACUUUGUUGCUUUGGCACGCUUGCCUCUUGUGCUACUGGCCUUGGCUAGUUAGUGCCUGCGAGAGAACCAACACUCUGAGUCAUUUAUUGUCUAAAGUACUAUUUUACUAGUUAAAACUUUCAACAACGGAUCUCUUGGUUCUG